GUGCCAGCCGCCGCGGUAAUACGAAAGGUCCAAGCGUUACUCGGAAUUACUGGGCGUAAAGCGCGCGUAGGCGGCUUUGUAUGUCGAUUGUGAAAGCCCCGGGCUCAACCUGGGAACUGCAGUCGAAACUGCAAAGCUUGAAUGUUGGAGAGGUUGGGGGAAUACCUAGUGGAGAAGUGAAAUUCGUAGAGAUUAGGUGGAACACCAGAGGCGAAGGCGCCUGACUGGCCAAACAUUGACGCUGAGGCGCGAAAGCGUGGGUAGCAAACAGGAUUAGAUACCCUUGUAGUCC
Molecule: ribosomal RNA, 292 nt
Filed under: uncultured bacterium
Lineage: Bacteria
Description: partial 16S ribosomal RNA
Rfam family: Bacterial small subunit ribosomal RNA
Source: RNAcentral